RNAcentral lists this ribosomal RNA (501 nucleotides) under uncultured bacterium. RNAcentral's name for it is "bacterial SSU rRNA". It matches the Rfam family "Bacterial small subunit ribosomal RNA", at positions 501 to 1000 of the family's 1533-position model. The record is from RNAcentral.
CUACGUGCCAGCAGCCGCGGUAAUACGUAGGUGGCAAGCGUUGUCCGGAAUUAUUGGGCGUAAAGGGCGCGCAGGCGGCUUCUUAAGUCUGUCUUAAAAGUGCGGGGCUUAACCCCGUGAUGGGAUGGAAACUGGGAAGCUCAGAGUAUCGGAGAGGAAAGCGGAAUUCCUAGUGUAGCGGUGAAAUGCGUAGAUAUUAGGAGGAACACCAGUGGCGAAAGCGGCUUUCUGGACGAAAACUGACGCUGAGGCGCGAAAGCCAGGGGAGCGAACGGGAUUAGAUACCCCGGUAGUCCUGGCCGUAAACGAUGGGUACUAGGUGUAGGAGGUAUCGACCCCUUCUGUGCCGGAGUUAACGCAAUAAGUACCCCGCCUGGGGAGUACGACCGCAAGGUUGAAACUCAAAGGAAUUGACGGGGGCCCGCACAAGCGGUGGAGUAUGUGGUUUAAUUCGAUGCAACGCGAAGAACCUUACCUACUCUUGACAUCCAGAGAACAUUC